Molecule: ribosomal RNA, 514 nt
Filed under: Ureibacillus thermosphaericus
Lineage: Bacteria; Bacillati; Bacillota; Bacilli; Caryophanales; Caryophanaceae
Description: bacterial SSU rRNA
Rfam family: Bacterial small subunit ribosomal RNA
Source: RNAcentral
ACAAACGCUGGCGGCGGUGCCUAAUACAUGCAAGUCGAGCGGACCAAUUAGAAAGCUUGCUUUUUGAUUGGGUUAGCGGCGGGACGGGUGAGUAACACGUGGGUAACCUGCCCUAUAGACCGGGAUAACUCGCGGAAACGCGUGCUAAUACCGGAUAACACAUCGAAGCGCAUGCUUCGGGGUUGAAAGAUGGUUCUGCUAUCACUAUAGGAUGGGCCCGCGGCGCAUUAGCUAGUUGGUGGGGUAACGGCCUACCAAGGCGACGAUGCGUAGCCGACCUGAGAGGGUGAUCGGCCACACUGGGACUGAGACACGGCCCAGACUCCUACGGGAGGCAGCAGUAGGGAAUCUUCCACAAUGGGCGAAAGCCUGAUGGAGCAACGCCGCGUGAGCGAAGAAGGUCUUCGGAUCGUAAAGCUCUGUUGUAAGGGAAGAACAAGCGCAGCAGUCACUGGCUGCGCCCUGACGGUACCUUACUAGAAAGCCACGGCUAACUACGUGCCAGCAGCCCGCG